This 490-nucleotide ribosomal RNA is filed under the name uncultured bacterium. Its description in RNAcentral is "partial 16S ribosomal RNA". It matches the Rfam family "Bacterial small subunit ribosomal RNA", at positions 30 to 507 of the family's 1533-position model. The record is from RNAcentral.
AUUGAACGCUGGCGGCAGGCCUAACACAUGCAAGUCGAACGGUUACAGGAAGAUGUUUGCUUCUUUGCUGACGCGUGGCGGACGGGUGAGUUAUGUCUCGGCAACUGCCUGAUGGAGGGGGAUAACUAAUGGAAACGGUAGCUAAUACCGCAUAACGUCGCAAGACCAAUGAGCGGGACCUCCGGGCCUCUUGCCAUAGGCUGUGUCCUGAUGGGAAUACCUAGGAGGUGGGGUAACGGCAACCCUAGGCCCCGAACCCUAACUGGUCUGAGAGGAUGAACAGCCACACUGGAACUGAGACACGGUCCAGACUCCUACGGGAGGCAGCAGUGGGGAAUAUUGCACAAAGGGCGCAAGCCUGAUACAGCGAUGCCGCGUGUAUGAAGAAGGACUUCGGUUUGUAAAGUACGUUGAGCGGGGGGGAAGGGCAUUAAGUUAAUACCUUUCCUGAUUGACGUUACCAGCAGAAUAAGCACCGGCUAACUCCGUG